GGCUCAGGACGAACGCUGGCGGCGCGCUUAACACAUGCAAGUCGAGCGAGAACCGGGGCUUCGGCCCCGGGGACAGCGGCGAACGGGUGAGUAACACGUGGGUAAUCUGCCCUUGACAUCGGGAUAGCCCGGGGAAACCCGGAUUAAUACCGAAUAGCCUCCGGAGCCUUCGGGCGCCGGAGAAAAGGUAGCUUCGGCCUCUGGUCAAGGAUGAGCCCGCGGCGGAUUAGCUUGUUGGCGGGGUAACGGCCCACCAAGGCGACGAUCCGUAGCUGGUCUGAGAGGACGAUCAGCCACACUGGGACUGAGACACGGCCCAGACUCCUACGGGAGGCAGCAGUGGGGAAUCUUGCGCAAAUGCGGGAAACCGUGACGCAGCGACGCCGCGUGGGGGAAGAAGGCCUUCGGGUUGUAAACCUCUUUCAGGAGGGACGAAGCUACUCGGGUGAAUAGCCCAGAGGGUGACGGUACCUUCAGAAGAAGCCCCGGCUAACUACGUGCCAGCAGCCGCGGUAAUACGUAGGGGGCAAGCGUUGUCCGGAUUUAUUAGGCGUAAAGAGCGUGUAGGCGGCUUGGUAGGUCUGCUGUGAAAACUCGAGGCUCAACCUCGAGCUGUCGGCGGAAACCACUUGGCUAGAGUCCGGAAGAGGAGAGUGGAAUUCCUGGUGUAGCGGUGAAAUGCGCAGAUAUCAGGAAGAACACCUAUGGCGAAGGCAGCUCUCUGGGACGGUACUGACGCUGAGACGCGAAAGCGUGGGGAGCGAACAGGAUUAGAUACCCUGGUAGUCCACGCUGUAAACGAUGGGUGCUAGGUGUGGGCGGUGUCGACUCCGUCCGUGCCGCAGAUAACGCAUUAAGCACCCCGCCU
RNAcentral lists this ribosomal RNA (868 nucleotides) under uncultured bacterium. Its description in RNAcentral is "bacterial SSU rRNA". It matches the Rfam family "Bacterial small subunit ribosomal RNA", at positions 21 to 874 of the family's 1533-position model. The record is from RNAcentral.